Molecule: long non-coding RNA, 1086 nt
Filed under: Nicotiana benthamiana
Lineage: Eukaryota; Viridiplantae; Streptophyta; Magnoliopsida; Solanales; Solanaceae
Description: long non-coding RNA (NBEN_LNC027675)
Source: RNAcentral
GGCAGCAAAGGAUGUUGUGCUAGCUGAAAAGCCUGUGAUUGGUGAUGAUUCAAACCAACUCGAUCCUUCUCUCCUCGACGAACUUCUUUCCAAUAUGAGGUACGUGCAAGCAAAUGCUUAAUUCAACUUCUCGCACUUCUGUUUGACCUGUCCCGAGAACCUUUUUAUGACUUCAGUUUGAAAAUUUUCUAAUCUUCCAUUAAAAGAAAGACUUUGUGUUCGUGGGGGUGAUAGUUAACAUAAGGAUUGAUAAAUUUUUCCCCUUGGCUGCUGCUUUCUUUGCUCCUAGUUAUGUCAGUUUCAAUUUGAAAAAAUGAGUAUGUAGGUAGUUCUGUGAUUAAGUUAAUAUGUAUCUAGUUAUAACAGACUCCUCUCCGUAUUGCAGGCAGCAAAAGAUGUUGUGCUAGCUGAAAAGCCUGUGAUUAGUGAUGAUUCAAACCAACUCGAUCCUUCUCUCCUCGACGAACUUCUUUCCAAUAUUGCUACUUUAUCCUCUGUCUAUCAUAAGCCUCCAGAAGCUUUUGUUACUCGUGUGAAAACCACUCAGAGAACUGAGGAGGAGGAGUAUGCUGAUGCAGGUGAACAGGGCCUUUCUGAUUCUCCUGCUCGUGUUGCAGAAAGUGGUGCCUCACCUCCAGCUAGUGCCGCACAUGCUCAGCAUCCUGCAGCAAGGCAACCAGCUGCACCUGCAGCUCCAGCAGCCCUGCCUGAUUUACUUGACCUUGGUAUGGAUAACAGCAAUAGUGCUAACAUGCUCAGCAUCCUGCAGCAAGGCAAACAGCUGCACCUGCAGCUCCUGCAGCCCUGCCUGAUUUACUUGACCUUGGUAUGGAUAACAGCAAUAGUGCUAUUGUGUCGGUUGAUCAGCCUGCAACCCCUGCCGGGUAUGUACAGUUCGUUUGCGUUAGUACUAUAAAGACUGUCGUUGCGAUGUCUUAUAAUGUCACAAGCAUAAUGAUUGAAGGCGGCCAUUUCUAAAUUAUGAAUCUAAGUAUGCUAAAGGAGUUCACACUUCUUUUUUGUUAAAAAUUUGCCACCCUUUUUGUUUGAUCAUUAUGUUUCAAACUAUUUGAGAUCACAUUCGUG